Molecule: ribosomal RNA, 119 nt
Organism: Erinaceus europaeus (western European hedgehog)
Lineage: Eukaryota; Metazoa; Chordata; Mammalia; Eulipotyphla; Erinaceidae
Source: Ensembl
GUCGACAGCCAUACCACCCUGAACACUACCGAUCUUAUCUGAUCUCAAAAGCUAAGCAGGCUUCAGCCUGGUUAGUACUUGGAUGGGAGACUGCCUGGGAAUGCCAGGUGAGGAAGGCU